GACUCGGUCAAGGCACUGAGUCAAUGAGUCACUGGUCGAACCAGUGAGUCAUUGGGCGGAUUGCUUGACUCGGUU
RNAcentral lists this microRNA precursor (75 nucleotides) under Lotus japonicus. RNAcentral describes it as "miR7524 stem-loop (lja-MIR7524)". The record is from miRBase by way of RNAcentral. Lineage: Eukaryota; Viridiplantae; Streptophyta; Magnoliopsida; Fabales; Fabaceae.